Molecule: RNase P RNA, 384 nt
Filed under: Candidatus Eremiobacter antarcticus
Lineage: Bacteria; Bacillati; Vulcanimicrobiota; Vulcanimicrobiia; Candidatus Eremiobacterales; Candidatus Eremiobacteraceae
Also listed under: 1 other name
Description: RNase P RNA component class A
Rfam family: Bacterial RNase P class A
About the family: Ribonuclease P (RNase P) is a ubiquitous endoribonuclease, found in archaea, bacteria and eukarya as well as chloroplasts and mitochondria. Its best characterised activity is the generation of mature 5'-ends of tRNAs by cleaving the 5'-leader elements of precursor-tRNAs.
Source: RNAcentral
UGAGCGCGCCGGACGGCCGCGGGUACCGAGCGAUCGGGACCUGAGGAAAGUCCGGGCUCCACACGGCGAGGGUGCCAGCUAACGGCUGGUCGGGGUAACCCGAAGGAAAGUGCCACAGAAACAAACCGCCGUCAUGCUCUCACGAGCGUUGACGGUAAGGGUGAAAUGGUGCGGUAAGAGCGCACCGGCGCGGGCGAAAGCCUGCGGCCGGGCAAACCCCACCCGGAGCAAGACAGUUGAGGCCGCCGCCAUUGCGCGGCGCGGGCAGCCGGCCCGAUCUCACAGCACGUCGCACGAGGCAUCCGGUGACGGAUGUCCACAGAGAGAUGGUCGUCGCCGCCUUCGGGCGGUUACAGAACCCGGCUUACAGGCGCGCCUCAGCGG